Molecule: long non-coding RNA, 549 nt
Organism: Carassius carassius (crucian carp)
Lineage: Eukaryota; Metazoa; Chordata; Actinopteri; Cypriniformes; Cyprinidae
Exons: 3
Source: RefSeq, a predicted model, not a curated record
UUCCCAGUCUUAAUAAUGCCAAAGCACAGCAUCCUUAACACACACUUAACCUCUCCAAUACUGCUCCGGAGCACUAUACAACGCUUAGUGUAUCCCAUCAUGCAUCAUGUUUUGGAAUAAAUCGUCAGACUUUUUGCCGAGAUCUCACAAGAGGUCACAGAAAGCUGUCCAAUGUACAGCAUGUGAAAUAUUGAUAAUUAGAUAUUAAAAAUCUCUGUAAACAUAUAAGUGUGUCCCAUAAGGCAGUGGCUCCCAAUCCUGGUCCUGGAGAACCCCAACACUGCACAUUUGAGAUGUCUCCCUGAUCAAACACACCUGAUUCAACUCAUCACCUCAUCAGUGAAGACUCCAAGGCCUCAAAAAGAGACACCAAAACCGUGCAGUGCUGGGGUUCUCCAGGAUCAGGAUUGGGAAACACAGUCAUCAGGUCAUGAAAAGUUCGACACACACUUAUGGUCAUCAUGCUCACUCAAGUGACUUACUGCUGCAAAUGUCUGCCUCCGCAGCUUUCUGCCUUCUCCAUUUCUGAAGGAAUACCUCUCCAGAAAC